AUUGAACGCUGGCGGCAUGCCUUACACAUGCAAGUCGAACGGCAGCACGGGUGCUUGCACCUGGUGGCGAGUGGCGAACGGGUGAGUAAUACAUCGGAACGUACCUUAUCGUGGGGGAUAACGCAGCGAAAGUUGCGCUAAUACCGCAUACGCCCUGAGGGGGAAAGCGGGGGACCGUAAGGCCUCGCGCGAUUAGAGCGGCCGAUGUCUGAUUAGGUUGUUGGUGAGGUAAAAGCUCACCAAGGGGAUGAUCAGUAGCUGGUCUGAGAGGACGAUCAGCCACACGGGGAAUGAGACACGGGCCAGACUCCUACGGGAGGCAGCAGUGGGGAAUUUUGGACAAUGGGGGGAACCCUGAUCCAGCAAUGCCGCGUGAGUGAAGAAGGCCUUCGGGUUGUAAAGCUCUUUUGUCAGGGAAGAAACAGCAGCUCUAACACAGUCUGCGAAUGACGGUACCUGAAGAAUAAGCACCGGCUAACUACGUGCCAGCCGCCGCGGUAA
This 501-nucleotide ribosomal RNA is filed under the name uncultured bacterium. RNAcentral describes it as "partial 16S ribosomal RNA". It matches the Rfam family "Bacterial small subunit ribosomal RNA", at positions 29 to 523 of the family's 1533-position model. The record is from RNAcentral.